RNAcentral lists this non-coding RNA (24 nucleotides) under Arabidopsis thaliana (thale cress). Lineage: Eukaryota; Viridiplantae; Streptophyta; Magnoliopsida; Brassicales; Brassicaceae. The record is from RNAcentral.
AUACGUGUCAACUUCUCAAUUGGU